GCCUCACCCAGAAAACAUGUCUGGAACUGCCAGGGAACAUAAUCUAAUUUUAAAAACUUUAAUCCUCCUGUGAAACUGGAUGACAGUGUUCUGACUUGAGGCAGGCUCUUUCAGUACGUGUUCACAACACCCAGCACGUGGUCCAGGACUGCUGGAGGGAUCUCACAAUGGAUUCUGCAAGGAGCGCUUCAGGCUUUAAGUAAAAGCUGUAAAGGACUGUCCUCCCAGGAAGUGGCAUCUCCCAUUGCUAUCUCUUGGUUUCUACUGUCUCUGAAUCUGGUAGCUUCUAGAUUGCAGAGCAGGAUGCUUUUUGCAGCUCAUUGGCUGCCUUCAGCAAGAGUGAGAAAGAUCUGUUUUCCUGGAUCAGCCUUCUCACUCCUCUAUAACAGGGUUGUCUCUGGAUAGGAGUGAAAGGGACUGAACGCACAGGGAAGGGAGGAGCUGGGCAGGACUGAACUGGGUAUUUGAUCUCUGUAAACUCAUGCAUGCUGACUCUGGGAGGAUGAAGUGUUCCUCAGCCCCCUUUCUCAACCUACCAAACAGUGGAACUACCUCUGAGCUCUGGGGCAAGAGGAGGGCUGGAGUGCCUGCUUUCAUGCCCUUCUUUAUGUUCUAACAAAACAGACCAGAUGGCUAGAAGACCUCUGUUUCUUUGUUCUGGAGGCUGGGAAGUCCAGGAUCUUAGGUGUUAGCAGACUGGGUGUUUGAGAGCCUUUUCUCUCACUUGUACACAGCAGCCUGCAAGCACUCCAGUCUCUUCCUCUCCUUGAAAGGAUACUGGCUUCAUGAUGGGACUCUACCUUCAUGAUCUCAUCAAAGCCUAACACCUCUCCUGGCCCCCACCUCCAGAUACUAUCACACUGAGGGUUAUGGCUUGAAUGUAUGAAGUUUAAGGAUAGAAACAUUGUCUAUAAAAGCUGAGCUCUUAGCUGUUUCAUCUCAUCCCCUAAAGCAAAUGAGCUGUUUUUUUUCCUGAAGAAAUCUUUCGUGUUAAAAUGCACACAGCAUAAAAUUUGCCUUUUGAAACAUCCUAAGUGUACAAUUGGCAAUCACUAGUGAUGGUCAUACAAUAUUGUUAGUGUAACCUGUCAAUCGCCCCACAAAAACUCUGCAACAACUAAGCAAGGGCUCUCACCCCCGACCCUUCCCUAGCCCUUGUGUGGCUUGCAUGUAUGCUAAGUUGCUUCAGUCGUGGCCAACUCUGUGUGACCCCAUAGCCCACCAGGCUCCUCUGUCUGUGGGAUUUUCCAGGCAAGAAUACUGCAGUGGGUUGCCAUUUCCUUUUCCGGGGGAUCUUCCUGACCCAGAGAUUGAACCCACGUCUCUUACGUUUCCUGCAUUGGCAGGUGGGUUCUUUAUCACCAGCGCCACCUAGGAAGCCCUUGACAACCUCUAGUCUACUUUCUUGAGUGUAACUUGCUUAUUCUGUUUUUUGCCCUUUGAUCAUAGAGCAUUUGUCCUUCUAUAUGGCUUAUUUCAUUUAGAAGAACUUCAAAUUCUGUCCAUGUUGUAACAAUGUGUCAGAAAUUCAAUUCUUGGGUCUGAAUAAGGAUCCAUUUCCUGGAUAUACCGCAAUUUACUUCUCUUCACCUGUUGAUGGAUAACAGAGCUGUUUCCACAUCUUGGCUCUUGUGAAUGUUGCAGUGAACAUCAGGGUACAGAUAAAACUGCUUAAAUCUAUGUUUUCAAUUCUAUUUAACAAGAAUGACUGGGUCAAAUGGUGACCCUGUGUUUAGAACUUUGAAGAACUGUCAAAACAAUGAAUUGGUUCUGGAGGUGGUUCUAGGUGGAAGACCUGAAGUCCUAAGUUCCUUUUGGAAUAAGACCCCCUGCUAGAUGACAGUCACCUCCUUGUUUCACACUUGACACUGAACACCCAGGAAGGUCACAUCUGCUUCCUUAAUCUCUGAAAGAGAUCCAAUCACCCAUCAAGGUGAUCAAGAACUUUCUUCAAGGACACUUCUGGAUCAUUGGCUGUUUGAGUCAACAGAGCUCAAUCCAGUCCAUUUCACUUAAUUCAUCAAGAACUUCCCUAUUAAGUAACUUCAGAUUUUGAAGCCAGUACAUCCUUAAGACCCUGAUGCUGGGAAAGAUUUGAGGGCAGGAGGAGAAGGGGAUGUGACAGAGGAUGAGAUGGUUGGAUGGCAUCACCAGCUCAAUGGACAUGAGUUUGCGUAAACUCUGGGAGUUGGUGAUGGACAGGGAGGCCUGGUGUGCUGUGGUUCAUGGGGUGGCAGAGAGUCAGACGUGACUGAACUGAACAUCCUUACCAGAUGGCAGAACAGAAACCGUGUUGCAUCUCAGUAGCCUCUUGUUUCUGUCUCAAUUUCCUGCUGUGCCCUAUGACACUUAGGAAUGUGCCCAACUUCCCUUGGGCAGCAGGCUUUGAGCCUUGAGUAGUUCACCAUAAUGUUUACCCUUUGAUUUGUAGAGAUCUUGCGAGGUCUUGUCCUCAAUACUUGGAGGUAGAGGUCUGUUUAGUGAUCUAAGAAUAAGAAUAGAAAUAUUAAAGGCUUAAUCUUUCAGAAUCAAGAAUGCAUUCUUGAUUCUUGAAUCAAGACAGAAGAGAGCUUCUAUCACUCUUAGAAGUUAUUUGGACUGACCAGCUAUUAAGUUGUUUGUUAUAAAAAUUCCUAAAGGGAGCUAGUGCUGUGCAUGACGGGCUUACCUGGAGAUACUACAGGUUCAGUUCCCGACCACGAAAAAGCGCAUAUCAGUGUCGCACAAAUUGUUUCCCAAUGCAGAUAGUUUAUAGUCAAGUGUGCAAUAGCAUUUCUAAAUGUACAUUAAUUUCCUUACUGCUGAAAGCUGCUAGCCACCUGGACCUUCAGUGAGUUGGAAUCUUGCUGGUGGAGGGUCUCACCUCAAUGUUGAUGGCCGUUAACUUACCAGUGUGGUUGCUGAAAGUUGGGGGUAGUAGCUAUGGUAAUGUCUCAGAACAACAGAGCUUGACCACUGACUCUUCCUUCAUGAUUUCUCUGUGGUGUGCAAUACUGUCUGGCAUUUUACCCACAGAACUUUCAGAUCGUGAGUCAGUCCUCUCAAACCCCACUGCUGCUUUUGACUAAGUUGCUGGAACUCUCCGAAUCCUGUCAUUUCAACAGUCUUCACAGGUUCUUCACCAGGUUAGAUACCUUGUCUCUCCAUAAGAAGCAACUGCUCAUCCAUUAAAUUAUCGUAGGACUGCAGCAAUCUAGUUGUAUCUUCAGGCUCCACCUCUCAUUCGAGUCCUCUUGCUGGUUCUGUCACCUCUAUAGCUACUUCUCUACUGAAGUUUUGAAGCCCUCAGCCAGCCAUGAGGGUUGGAAUCGAUUUCUUCCUAACUCCUGUGAACGUUUAUUUUGACCUCUUGCCGUGAAUGACAACUGUUCUUCAUGGCAUGUAGGAUGGUGAAUCCUUUCCAGAAGGUUUUCAAUUUACUUUGCCCAGAUCCAGAGGAAUCACUAUUUAUGGCAGCUAUAGCCUUAUGAGGUGUACUUAGACGGGAAAGUCAGUAUGACUUCUCGAUCCACAGCAGCGGAACAGAUCUUAACAAGCAUAUGUAACAACACAGUCUCACUGCAUCAUCAUCAGAGCGCUCUUGGGUGGCCAGGUGCAUUGUCAGUGGCAAUAAUACUUGGAAUUUCUUCCUGAGCAGUAGAUCUCAACAGUAAACAUACUCAGGAAACCAUGUUAACAGAAUGUGCUGUCACUCAGACUUUGACUCUGCCUGUGCUCUGUAAAUGGCACCAUCUAGCAUAAUUAAGGGCCCUGUGAAUUUGAAAUUGCAAGUGAACAUUGGCUUCCACUUAAGUCCCCAGCUGGAUGAGCCCCGAACAAGUCAACUGGGCCUUUGAAAGUUUGAAGCCAGGUAUUGACUUCUCUUCAGCUAUGAGAUUCUCCAGCAUGAGGCUGCUUUUCUGCAUUUAAAAAUACUGGCUUGGUGUAGCCAAUUCACGAGUGAUCUGAGCUAGAUCUUUGGGAUAACUUGCUGCAGGUCCUACAUCAGCCCUUGUGGCUUCGAAGUUAAGGAGACGACUUACUUAAACCUCCUGAACUGAACUCUGCCUGUUUAAAUUUCUGCUACUUCCUCACCUCCCUGACAUUGCAUCAAAGAGUUAGGGCCUUGUUCUGGACUAGGCUUUGGCUUAAGGGAAUGUUGUGGCUCGUCUGUUCUAGCAAGACCAGUAAAACUUUUUUCUCCAUGUAAGCAAUGAGGCUGAGCUUGCUUUGUGUGUUCACUGGAGUAGCACUUUCGUUUCCUUCAAAAACUCCCUUGGCGUUCACGACUUGACUGUCCAGCACAAGAGGGCUACCUUUCAGCCUGUCUUAGCUUUUGUUGUGCCUCCCUCACUAAGCUUAGUAAUUUCUCGCUUUUGAUAUAAAGUGAGACGGGCAACUCUCCUUUCACUUGAUUGUUUAGUGGACUUUGUAGCUUAUUCACUGGCCUAACUUCAAUAUUUCAUCCUCAG
Bos taurus (domestic cattle) is the source of this 4451-nucleotide long non-coding RNA. Lineage: Eukaryota; Metazoa; Chordata; Mammalia; Artiodactyla; Bovidae. The record is from Ensembl.